RNAcentral lists this unclassified non-coding RNA (338 nucleotides) under Hevea brasiliensis (rubber tree). Lineage: Eukaryota; Viridiplantae; Streptophyta; Magnoliopsida; Malpighiales; Euphorbiaceae. The record is from RNAcentral.
UGGUUCCAUGUUUUUGGUAUUGGAAAGCAAUCAAUUGGAUUCAGUGUUCGAAUUGAGGUGAAGACAAGAUCUAGGAUUUCGGAAGUGAUAGUGGGUCCUCAAAAUAGAACAGUGACAUCCAAGGAUAAUUUUCUGAGGGUUAAUCUUAUUGGAGAUUUUGUUGGUUACUCAAGUGUUCCUUCUUUUGAAGACUUCUACCUCGUCAUUCAAAGACAGUUAGCACAAUGGUAAUGGUGUUGAUGGGAAAGGAAUGCAUCUUGGUUUGAAACCUUUUGUCAUGUCCACCAAUACAAAAAAGCUUGCUUGCUGCUGCUGGGUGAGCCUGGUCAACCACAAGA